AACCAACCUCCCUAAGAC
This 18-nucleotide transfer RNA is filed under the name Alces alces (Eurasian elk). Its description in RNAcentral is "partial tRNA-Thr". The record is from RNAcentral. Lineage: Eukaryota; Metazoa; Chordata; Mammalia; Artiodactyla; Cervidae.